CCUACGGGAGGCAGCAGUGGGGAAUAUUGGACAAUGGGCGCAAGCCUGAUCCAGCACAUGCCGCGUGUGUGAAGAAGGUCUUCGGAUUGUAAAGCACUUUUGGCAGGGACGAUGAUGACGGUACCUGCAGAAUAAGCCCCGGCUAACUUCGUGCCAGCAGCCGCGGUAAUACGAAGGGGGCUAGCGUUGCUCGGAAUGACUGGGCGUAAAGGGCGCGUAGGCGGCAUGCACAGUCAGAAGUGAAAUUCCUGGGCUCAACCUGGGGACUGCUUUUGAUACGUGCAGGCUAGAGUGAGGAAGAGGGUUGUGGAAUUUCCAGUGUAGAGGUGAAAUUCGUAGAUAUUGGAAAGAACACCGGUGGCGAAGGCGGCAACCUGGUCCUUUACUGACGCUGAGGCGCGAAAGCGUGGGGAGCAAACAGGAUUAGAUACCCUGGUAG
Molecule: ribosomal RNA, 439 nt
Filed under: uncultured bacterium
Lineage: Bacteria
Description: bacterial SSU rRNA
Rfam family: Bacterial small subunit ribosomal RNA
Source: RNAcentral